This 25-nucleotide non-coding RNA is filed under the name Rattus norvegicus (Norway rat). The record is from RNAcentral. Lineage: Eukaryota; Metazoa; Chordata; Mammalia; Rodentia; Muridae.
UGAGGCUGAGCACGAGUAGUGCGGU